Molecule: long non-coding RNA, 1484 nt
Filed under: Camelus dromedarius (Arabian camel)
Lineage: Eukaryota; Metazoa; Chordata; Mammalia; Artiodactyla; Camelidae
Description: lncRNA (ENSCDRG00005013579.1)
Source: RNAcentral
CUUAAGUAUUGGAUCAAGGAAGGGAGCCACACCGUAUUGCAAAUGUGCUGUUUUGGUAAAGACGUCUCCUAGUGACGUUUUUCCCUCUAGGUCUUGCAAAACUUCCAAAGAAAAACCUUGCAUAGUCCCAGCCGCUGGUUCAUGCCACACGCAGCACUGAGAGUAGAAGUACCGUCCCUGGCCCUUCAGCGAGUCUGGCAAGAACUCUGGUCACCCCUCCUGUCUGUGACGAGCAGGCACCAGUCCGCUGGGUCAGGGCAGCACAGGGCAAGGAGCAGAAUGCUCGCCUUCAGAUGUGGGUGAGAAACACUGGGGCUUCCUGGUAGCCAGAACUCAGCACCAUCAAGCGGCUGUGUGGAGAAGGUACCCUCACUUCCCUCCGUUUUGGUGCCCCACCUACACGCCAGGCGAAGCGCUGGUGUCUGUCCUGACGCACAUGCAGACAGAAAGCCGACACCCUUCCCCCAGUGCAGCCAUGGUCCUCGCCCCAUACAGAGACGGGCGUUCUGAGAGGUGCGGUGCUGCCCGGGUCCCGUCGGGGAGAGGCAGGUCUGUCUUUCUCCACGACGCCUUCUUGCCGCCACGUCGUCCCCUCUGGCCGUAUGACGAAAACCGCAUUGUAUCUUCCCAAUUAUUCCUCUUUCUGUAGGUUGCAAGGGAUCAACAACAGGAAACAGGGCAGACAGCAGCCGGAGAUGCUGCUGAAAAUGAAGUGUUCGCUUCAGGAGCUGAGGGUCCUGCACUGGCCGAGUGCCCCAUCCAGGAGCCCCUCUCCUCCGAGAUCCCGUCUGGGGAGUCGGCUCUGGAAAACCUCCCACUCCCGCACUCUCUGCAGGAUGGCAACCAGGAUGUGCAGCCCCUGAGGCCCCAGGACGCCCUCCCUGGACGCCAGGAGUGCUGGGUGCUGGAGACCACCGUCAUCUAUAUGCCAAAGCUGGAGGAGGAGCAGGCCAUCCAGGAGACGCCCCGAGGACAGUCAGAGCCUGAGCAGGAGGCAGCUCUGUGGGCCACCCGGUCGGCCCAGGGCCUGCGGGCCGCUCAGAGGGAGUGUGGGAUUGAGAUGACCUCUCUCAUCCGUCUGGAGCAGGGCUGCCCCCUCCAAGGGGCCACCAAGCCUGGGGACACUACCUCCUUCACCGUGAUCACGAUGCCCAAGGACUCGGAGGAGCCCAGGGACGGGCCCCCUCCGGGCGUUUAGAGCAAGUUCAUCCCCCAAGACCCCCAAGAAGCCCCCCCCCCCGCAGAGCUGGCCCGGACUUCCACUUGGAGGCAGAGACGCUGGGCACCUGAUGCCCACCUUCAGACGCCACCUGCACAGGGCCUCACGCUCUUCCUAAGCAGGGGAAGAGGAGGGAACAGAGCCCCACUCCGGUUUGGGCCGCUUGGAAAGGUCUGAACGAGCUCUGCGUCUCACUCGCUUCGGAAGCUGUGCUUUAGCGGCAGCGCAGGUUCCUAAUCACGUCUCUGUUGUUCCAGAAGGAGGG